UACAGAGGUCUCAAGCGUUGUUCGGAUUCAUUGGGCGUAAAGGGUGCGUAGGCGGCGCGGUAAGUCGGGUGUGAAAUCUCGGAGCUUAACGCCGAAACUGCAUUCGAUACUGCCGUGCUUGAGGACUGGAGAGGAGACUGGAAUUUACAGUGUAGCGGUGAAAUGCGUAGAUAUCGUAAGGAAGACCAGUGGCGAAGGCGGGUCUCUGGACAGUUCCUGACGCUGAGGCACGAAGGUCAGGGGAGCAAACGGG
RNAcentral lists this ribosomal RNA (253 nucleotides) under uncultured bacterium. RNAcentral's name for it is "partial 16S ribosomal RNA". It matches the Rfam family "Bacterial small subunit ribosomal RNA", at positions 524 to 776 of the family's 1533-position model. The record is from RNAcentral.